GUAGGUGGCAAGCGUUGUCCGGAAUUAUUGGGCGUAAAGCGCGCGCAGGUGGUUCUUUAAGUCUGAUGUGAAAGCCCCCGGCUCAACCGGGGAGGGUCAUUGGAAACUGGGGAACUUGAGUGCAGGAGAGGAAAGUGGAAUUCCACGUGUAGCGGUGUAAUGCGUAGAUAUGUGGAGGAACACCAGUGGCGAAGGCGACUUUCUGGCCUGUAACUGACACUGAGGCGCGAAAGCGUGGGGAGCAAACAGGGAUUAGAUACCCUGGUAGUCCACGCCGUAAACGAUGAGUGCUAAGUGUUGGGGGGGUUUCCCGCCCCUCAGUGCUGCAGCUAACGCAUUAAGCACUCCGCCUGGGGAGUACGGUCGCAAGACUG
RNAcentral lists this ribosomal RNA (374 nucleotides) under uncultured organism. RNAcentral describes it as "partial 16S ribosomal RNA". It matches the Rfam family "Bacterial small subunit ribosomal RNA", at positions 527 to 896 of the family's 1533-position model. The record is from RNAcentral.